Long non-coding RNA from Paramisgurnus dabryanus, 2570 nucleotides. RefSeq lists it as uncharacterized. The record is from RefSeq and is a predicted model, not a curated record. NCBI's taxonomy places the organism in Eukaryota, Metazoa, Chordata, Actinopteri, Cypriniformes, Cobitidae.
UUGCGUGUGCGCGCAGUGUGUGUGUGUGUGUGUGUGUGUGAUGUGCUCGCGCACUGCUGUUGCGCAGUCAGUAAAAGAUUCUGAAGUCUCUCUCUCUCUCUCUCUCUCUCUCUCUCUCUCUCUCUCUCUCUCUCUCUCUCUCUCUCUCUCUCUCUCUCUCUCUCUCUCUCUCUCUCUCUCUCUCUCUCUCUCUCUCACUCACUCACUCACUCACUCACUGAAAAUCACACUCUGAACUUUCAACAAGAGCUAAAAACAUCAGACGAACAUUCACGAUGUCACGCGUGGCUUCACUGUGGUUCAUGUGCGGAUCUCUGUGUGCUGUGUUCACAUUUGUGCUGGUUGUUGAGGGAAGCGGCUGGACUGAGUGUUUGGAUGAGGAUGAGAUUAUUACUGAAAUGCCAAUGGAUGUUGAGCUGCCGUCGCAGUGUCUGUUAACUUGCACGGGGCUCACUUACAGACAGAUCCUGAACAGACAAAACAUACUUACUGUCCGAUUCAGAGACUCAGAUUCAGGAGAAGCAGGAGAGUUUUGCUGGGAUGUGCAAAAGAGGUGGAGUUUGUGGGAUAAAGUUUUUGUUUUACUGCCAGCUUCUGAAUCACUUCUGAAUGAAGAAAUGGUCCAGAUUCACAUCAGCUCAUCGACCCACACAGACCCGAUUCAACCCCACGACUCCGCAUCCAUACUGCCUGACGACUGCGGCCUGCGAUUCGAUGUCACUCCUCAUCUGAGACAAAAGCAGCGACAGACUGUCUGUGUCAGACUGACACGAAUCCUGAAAAACACAUUACGCUGUCCACCUUUUCUUGCCAUUAUUAGAAAUAAACACACAAAGAGCGUGACUCGUACCUGAUUAAAUCUUUCAAAUAUGAGACACAAAGAUUAAGGUCCCAAUAAACUCUUACUACGGGCUAGUAGUGUUACAGCUAUUUAUCAUUAUACCAUUAAAGGGCCAAAAUUAUGCCAGUUUUUACAAGAUGUAACACAAGGGGCUGUUUACACCUGGUAUAAAGAUGCGUUUUGGUCAGUCGGAUCAAAAGUGGACAAGAGAGACACAUUGACGUUUACACCUGGUGUUUUUAUCUGUCUCUUUUUUUCACUUUCGAUGAUUUCUGUCCUGAAUACUGAUGGGGUGGUCUGUGGAGACUGCUGUGGGCGAGUCCCUGUGCUUUUGUUAAAGUAAAAGAAAUGACGGGUUUUAAUUGACACGCACUAAUAUUAUGUCAGAGUCCGCUUUCAAAUGUUCGCAAAAUGAAAGAGGCAGAGAGCAGCUGCUUUAGUUUUAUCAAUGAAAGCCUAAAGAUGGCGCUGUACACUGUAUUCGCACUAGAAGUCAUGUCUGAUGCUAAAACAUUGUGUUAUUUCACAUUAGAUGGAGAGUAGGUGGUUUUUUGUGGCCGGUCGAAUCUGUUUUCGACUACCUCUGAAUGUGGUCAAAAGUGGACAAGCUUAAAAUGUUUUACACCCCGUUUACACCUGUCUUUAGCGUCGUCCACUUGUGAUUCGAUGGACCAAGACGUAUCUUGAUACCAGAUGUAAACAGCCUGUAAGUCUCAAGUGUGCCUAGAAUGUGUCUGUGAAGUUUCAGCUCAAAAUUCCCCAUAGAUCAUUUAUUAUAACUUAUACCACGGGUCUGUUGAAUGCUGUAUUCUGAUUGGCUGAGAAAUGUUCCGUGGGUAUGCAUUCAUUUCUGAUAACCGCACACCGUACUUGUCGAAUGUCUUAAAAAUAGGCACCAGAGCAAUGUUUGUGGUAACCGUGGUAUAAGAGGAAUAAUUGACUCCGGUCCUUUGAAUUAUACGAAAAUAAUGCACACCCGCGGUGUGCUUCGCGUCGUGCCGCAUUGCACCUUGGGUGUGCAUUAUUUUCGUAUAAUUCAAUGGCACGUCGUCAAUUAUUUCUGACAUGUCCAAAAUGACCCUAUUCUGCAGGAGCAUUAAUUCGUGCUACAACAUGCUAACUAACUAAUUUAGAAAAGCUUUUGGGUAAAAUUAACCAGUCAGUGACUGUGGGCAUGGCUUUGUCAGUAUGACGUCACAUUAACAAGAAAAUCAAAGCAGGAUGUCUAAUGAGAUUGCUCUGGUUUAAUGGGGAUUAAAAAGGAGGAGUUUUUUAUUAUUAUGUUCACACACUGCACUGCCAACAAACAUUAUUAUGUCCUAACAUCAUAAUAUAUUUGCUCUUUAUAUCAUAUGCAGGCUGGACUGUACAUGAACAAAUGCUUUAGCUGAAUACGUUAGUGGCCUUUUGAUAAGUUGUGUCUUAUGAUAAAAACUUUUUUAUUAUUUUAAUUCAAUGUCAACUAGCUUUAUUUGAAUCAGAUUUAAGAGCUUUUUAUUGUAAAAUGCUUUUGUUUAUAUAGAAAAGGCCACUUUUGUGUAUGUGGUGUGCCAUAUGAUUAAAGCACAAGAUGAUUUAUUUUUACGAACUUAUGGUUUAAAUACAACUUUGGUCAAAUUGAAUCUGCGCAUUGGCCAAUGAAAAAACAAAACUCAAAAUGACCUACUUUCUCAGUAGCCUGUAUAUAAAUAAAUGCAUAGUUAUUUUGGUAAUAAAAUUUCUAAAGGCA